Molecule: long non-coding RNA, 1399 nt
Organism: Daphnia pulicaria
Lineage: Eukaryota; Metazoa; Arthropoda; Branchiopoda; Diplostraca; Daphniidae
Exons: 3
Source: RefSeq, a predicted model, not a curated record
CAAACGUAAAUCAACAACUUUUUGCAAAGAUGAAACGCGCCACAUUCAAAGUUUUAGUUCCUGUCCUACUGACUCAAUUAGCUGUGGCAGUCGUCGGGCUCGAUGGCGACAAUUUGGCGAAAGAAUAUGGCGCGAAGAUUCAAAAAGAUAAAAACAGAAACUCAAUGAGUGCCUUUGGAAGUGGUCAGACAGAGGAGUUUGACGAACUUAACCCCAACGGACGCUACAGUGAAUUCUGGCCAAUGAGAUGGCCCAACAAGCCAAAUCAACCGAAAUCAAAUCACAAAUCGAAUCCACAUUUCCCUAUUCCAGCUCACAGCUAUAUUUCGCUCCGAUUAUUUACAACCAUGCAUCAGCAUUCAAACCUUAUGUUCCACUUUACGUUCCUAAGAAGACUCCCAGUUACGACCGCCCUACUUCCGUCUCUCCUACAGCUUACUACACCGAAUCACUGAUUUACGGUUACACAACGCCAUCUUAUCCAUCACCGACUUUAUCACCUUCGCCUUACUUUCCUCCGGAGAACAUGGAUUCCACCAUCGACCCAUCAUCACGACCCGAUAACAUAUUUUCAAUAUCGGUAAAUUUCGGGUAAAUUUACAAAUACUGGCAAUAUGAGCAUCCGUGACCGAUCUUUGCUUCUCUACGUCGGCCGUACUGAUGGGCUUAUAGGGCCUAUAAGUAUUACGCCAGCAGAAUCUCAUUUACACCCCCAUUUUCUCCUUCUUUUCACUCCCACCAAAUUGUACUGCCUUUUGCGCCGUCAGUGAAAAUGAAUCAAAUGAAAGUAGAAACGUGUCAACAAAUUUAAGUUUGAAAAUCGUCGCUAGAAAUUUCUAACUUUCCAAUGAGUUUUGGAAUAAAGAAUUAUCUUUCAAGAUUUUUUAUCAAAUAUGCCUGAUAACAUUGCCAAGACAACAAAUCCAAGAAGAUAAAAUUGCCACCCACGACUAGGUUUAUCACUUUGAUUAUAGUCGUCAAGGCCAAAUAAUUCAAAAGGCUGUUGCAUUCCUAACAAAGAAGACCACAUCGUUUUUUGUGUGUGAAGGAAUACAAUAUUAGUUUUUCAUAACUAUUGUGCUGUUUAAGAAAGUCAGUAUGUCGAAAAUGUCGCGGAUUUUCAAUCCCCACAAUAAAUUAGGGGAGGGACGUUAUGGUAUCGUUUGCAAAGGAUCCUGGGAUGGAAAAACAGUGGCCAUCAAGAGAAUUCAACUACAUCAGUGCUGCAAACAAGAAGAAGAUGCCAUGAAAAAACUCGAUCAUCCCAAUGUCGUAAAAUUUUUCCACGCCGAGAGUGACGAGCAUUUCAGAUAUUACUGUCUUGAAUUGUGUGAUGGCUCGUUGGACCAAAUGUUAUCUAAAGACAAGGACCCAGAAAAAUUCUUGAAGGCCCACCCAA